This 101-nucleotide transfer RNA is filed under the name Trichocoleus sp. FACHB-591. RNAcentral's name for it is "tRNA-OTHER". Lineage: Bacteria; Bacillati; Cyanobacteriota; Cyanophyceae; Leptolyngbyales; Trichocoleusaceae. The record is from RNAcentral.
GGAGGAUACCGCUAAGUGGUCGGCAACUGGUCUUGUAGCUUGCUUCCUGUAGGGUAAACCAGGGUAGUCCUUGACUAGGGGUUCGAUUCCUCUAUCCUCCG